GAUUUGCGUAUCUUUUCCGCGUGAUCGCGUUGAUAGUCGCAAGUAAUUUACCGGCGUGCAUCGAGUCUCAUUUAAAUGUCAUCGGACGAAUCGGAUGGAACAGGUCUCGAAACGCGCGCUGACGAUUAUUCAGAGUUACGAGCGCAAUCAUCAACUACGUAUUUAAGCAGGCAUCACAUAUUUAAACAUACGUUACGUGUAAAAAUAAGUGACGCGAGGAGAUAAAACGAAAUGGUAGAAGUAGAAGCCGGACAAAAGUGGGACAAUGCACUCGGUUUUCCUCGUCGGUAGAGAAACUUCGGCACGUCAUUCACCCUUCUCUCGUGACGUAAAUCGGGAUUGCGCACAAUCCCGAAUGGACCUGCGAUUAAAAAAGAGCAGCCGAUGGAAAGUGGGCACUGCAGGAAAACUCUGAUGACGAUGUGUGACGUAGAAAUUGCAAAGCUGCUUGCGCCUACGCGAAAAGUUUUGAAGACGACCCACGCUCGAAACUUCCCAUUAGCCUACUUCACGAGGGAGCGCGUCGCCCCUUGACAACGCUUCAAGUCGGAGCAUUCAAACAGCCGCCGUAGUAGGUCCCGUUAAAAGAAGAAGCUGUAAAUAAGGCGUGAAGCUUCAUAAAUACGAAAUUACCCGAAAGAACCGUGAUAAUAAAUUCGGCCGACCGUGCAGACGCAAAGCGAGAGAUCUCAACUAUGCAGGCGUAAAUCAGAAGUACUUGAAAACUUUGUUGGCAAGCGUUGGUGCUUUAAUCUUUCAGACUUUGCGUAAUAACCAUCAUAAACGUCAUAAACGAGCUUUGAAACAGAUAUUAAGAGCGAAGAAAUAGUUCUGUUGCGAAAUAAAAUAAAGGUGUAAAAGGGUGUUUAAAUGUCGACAGGCAAGAAACGUCUUUGCGUUUGAGAAGAGGAA
Long non-coding RNA from Ceratina calcarata, 912 nucleotides. RefSeq lists it as uncharacterized. Lineage: Eukaryota; Metazoa; Arthropoda; Insecta; Hymenoptera; Apidae. The record is from RefSeq and is a predicted model, not a curated record. The transcript has 3 exons.